RNAcentral lists this ribosomal RNA (497 nucleotides) under uncultured bacterium. RNAcentral's name for it is "partial 16S ribosomal RNA". It matches the Rfam family "Bacterial small subunit ribosomal RNA", at positions 28 to 507 of the family's 1533-position model. The record is from RNAcentral.
GAUGAACGCUGGCGGCGUGCCUAAUACAUGCAAGUCGAGCGAACAGACGAGGAGCUUGCUCCUCUGACGUUAGCGGCGGACGGGUGAGUAACACGUGGAUAACCUACCUAUAAGACUGGGAUAACUUCGGGAAACCGGAGCUAAUACCGGAUAAUAUAUUGAACCGCAUGGUUCAAUAGUGAAAGACGGUUUUGCUGUCACUUAUAGAUGGAUCCGCGCCGCAUUAGCUAGUUGGUAAGGUAACGGCUUACCAAGGCAACGAUGCGUAGCCGACCUGAGAGGGUGAUCGGCCACACUGGAACUGAGACACAGUCCAGACUCCUACGGGGGGCAGCAGUAGGGACUCUUCCGCAAUGGGCGAAAGCCUGACGGAGCAACGCCGCGUGAGUGAUGAAGGUCUUCGGAUCGUAAAACUCUGUUAUUAGGGAAGAACAAAUGUGUAAGUAACUAUGCACGUCUUGACGGUACCUAAUCAGAAAGCCACGGCUAGCUACGUG